Long non-coding RNA from Halichondria panicea, 3241 nucleotides. RefSeq lists it as uncharacterized. The transcript has 5 exons. The record is from RefSeq and is a predicted model, not a curated record. Lineage: Eukaryota; Metazoa; Porifera; Demospongiae; Suberitida; Halichondriidae.
UUGUCAUGUAUGACUCUACUCUCAAACAAAAUGUUCUUGUCUUUGCUCCCGUUAUUGCAGCCGUUAUUGCAGCUUUGGCUGACAAUCCAAGGCUCACCUGGGAAGUGGUGCAAACCUCUUUUGUCGUAUGUGUAUGGUAAACAAGCGUGAGGAUCCAACGAUUGGCAGAACAAAGCAGUUGCCACAUUCAAUGCAUCAAAAAUCAGCCAUUUGAAACAGGGAAAAUUGAGACACGAAAGCAUUUCGGAAUGGAAGAGAUCGAUAAUCCCCUAUUCCACGUUUCUAUAUGUAUGUGUAUGGUGGUUACAUGUACAUGAUACGUGUUUUGGAUCGAGUCAAGUGCAUGUAACUUACAAUUAUUAAGAUUGCAUAAUAUCCAGCUAUGGUACACGAACUUUGCCAACACACGACAGGUCAACUCUUGUGGAGACACUACACACAAUUCUCCUUGGACCAUACAAGUACCCCCUUAUCCCACAACUCACAGCAGCUCAGACGCCAGCACUUCCGGGAAAGUCCUUGGCAAUAUCGUCAGCUAUCACAAGUUACAAGGCUUUGUCUCAGAUUGCGUUGUUUGUGUUUUGAGUUUGGCUUGCUCUUUCAAAGGUAUUCAGAAUUGCCUACUGUGUACCAUUCACAGAGGAUAAAGUACACCAGAUAUGACAGCACUUUGUGGCCACCGUAAAAGAAAACAUGCCUGAAAUGCUGAAAAAACAAGAAGUUCACCUGCUACUCCAUCUUCCGGAAAGUAUGAAAGAGUUUGGUCCCCCAUAAUCUUUUAACACAGAAAGGUGUGAGGCUUUCACAACUCAAAUAUGAGAAACUACAAUGUAUACGAUCGAUGCCAAAAGUUCAAGUCUAAAAUUAUGGCCGCAAGUCAGCAGAGCCUUGCAGCUCUCUGCUCACUCUACCAAUAGCCAGCGUUUUAAUGCAGAGCAAACUACUAAGUAGAGUAGUAACACCCAGUGAACAAGUUUUGCUACGGACUGGUGAGCCACCUUCCAAAAAGAGAAAAACUGAUGGCCAGGCUGUUGUUUCAGACACAGUAGUGGAUGACGAAAAUUUUAAGAAACUCAAGGAAAAACAUCGCUGAGAUUGUGGGCCAAACUGUUCAGCAAAGGACGAUAUGAUGACUUUGAAAACGUCCCUCCCAUCCCUCUACUGCAAGAUGACUCUUCAUUAUCUACAAAAAAGAAGAAGAAUUGCGCCUCAGAUGCACUGGUUGAUGCUGUUACAGCUUUUGCGCAAGUGUUUUAAGUCACCAAACGUAACACCCCAGAAAAUCAGCAGCCCUACUCAGAUCUCUUCUAAGCUGUCAUCAAUGAAGUACGCCCAGCUGCGCCGCAGCAGUUUGGAAGACCUAAAAACGCUGAAGAACUUGUGUGAAGAAGAUAUUAUAUCUGAGAGUGAAUUUGCUGAAGAAAAGGAGCGUAUUUUGACCACACUAAAGUAAGAACCACACUAAAGUAAGAAAUUGUACACUAUACUUUUAAAAUACCUCUGUGAUUGGGAUAAUUAUUGUUAUAACUGAUUGAGCAAUAAUUGUUAUUCGUCAUUAAUCAAACAUAACCAGAAUGUUGUUGAUUGAUGUGAAUGCAUGCAAAUAUGUCCAGUAGGUAUUCAUUUGCUUUUAAAGUUGACUUCACUUUUGCCUCAAUGGGGUUCAAGUCCGGACUGUAGGGGGGGAGGAAAUGCAAAAGGGCUCCUGUUGACUCAAUAAGAUCAACCACACCAUUUGCAUGAUGCAUUAUCUAAUACAACAACACUAUGAGGAUUGCUGCCAUUAAAUGGCUUUAAUUGUGGGAGCAAAGAUUGGCGAACAUAGUGCUUAAAGUUGUCACCAGCCACAGAAGUAGUAUAUGUGUAACAGUCCAGAAGGCCUUCCAUAGAUAUAGCUGCAAUAGCAGAAACUCUUUGCCCGCGCACAAGUAGCUUAGUUGAUACAGCAGGUCUGCCCCUUAUGCUGUAUCCAUAUCUCCUCAAGCAGUUCCUUCUGUCUGCUCCAGUUUCAUCUACAAAAACAAACAUUUGAGGGUGGCCACGAAAAACUUGCAUGUCAAGGAGGUACUCUGCCCUCAGUAAUUCACUCCUCUGCUUUGCUACGAUUUUUGCCGUGUGAUGCUCCAAAUUGUGCUGGUGUCCACAUUGGUUCCGGUCUCUUGAAUUAGAGUCUGCUGUAUCUCACGUAGAAACACGUCUCAGCAAUUGUUUCCAAGAUGAUGUCUCUGUUAAACUAGCUGUUCCGGUGUUUGGAGGAUAUACUUUCUUUUCAACAUUGCCAGAAGUAUUGAACAAAGAUACAGUUCUGCUCACUGUAGAUAAGUCAACACAGAGAUUUUGUGCUACAGUUUCAACCCUAGCCUCGAUUCCAAGCCGCUGAGAAAGACGGCCUGGUAUACACUGUUUACGCAUGCGCCAGAAUUACCCAGAAUCUGGGUAAUCGUAAAUUGCAGUAUAUUUAUCAGUAUUCUUAUUCCGCAUUAGUUUGUAAAACAUUGAUAUCCGUUUCAUUUAUAAUGAUGUCAUUGAAAAAAGAAAUCUAGUCCAAGUUGUGUAAUGGCUGCUACCUUCUCUUCUGCUCUCGCGUACGUGUUAUCCUGUGUUGGAAAACCAGGUCUAGUCUUGAAAGACAAGCAGCUGGAGGCGUUGAAGUGUCUGUACGCUGGUGUUUAUGUGGGUACCCUACCGACCGGCUAUGGCAAGUCCCAGAGCGAGAGCAAGUCCAUCUGCUUUCCAGACACUCCCUUUCUUGAUUGAUGUGAAGCUUGACAGGACCAGUGCACCUCUCUCUGAAAGAAGUGUUGUGAUGGUGAUUUCUCCUCUUGUUUCUCUGAGUGAAGCCAUCUUCAAAGUGUUGGUGUGUCUGUUUGACGUUCAGUGCCAUUCUCUCUGGAAGGAAGUAUUGUUUGUGACAUUUGCUGAAAAUUGGUCACAGAGUAAGUACGUGGUAUCUGGUCCGAGAACUGUGUGGCCUGAAUGUGUUUACAAUCCGAGGGACUUGUGUGUAUCCGAUCCGAGGGACUUGUUGCUUGAGUGUGUAUUAAUGGAUAGUGCUUUCAAUGGUUUAACUAAGAUUAACUUGUCGCCUGAGUGUGUAUCCGAUCCGAGCCUCAAGUUAAUGAAUAAAUCUACAGAGCUGAUGUUUUACUUAGCUGUCUCUGUCUACAGUAUAUACAGAGAGGUAGCCUCUCCUUUUUCUGUUCUUUAUCACAAUAAGAUAAAAUACUGUUUUAACGUUCAA